RNAcentral lists this ribosomal RNA (253 nucleotides) under uncultured bacterium. RNAcentral describes it as "partial 16S ribosomal RNA". It matches the Rfam family "Bacterial small subunit ribosomal RNA", at positions 524 to 776 of the family's 1533-position model. The record is from RNAcentral.
UACGUAGGUGGCGAGCGUUGUCCGGAUUUACUGGGCGUAAAGAGCGCGCAGGCGGUCGUGCCAGUCGCGUGUGAAAGCCCCCGGCUCAACUGGGGAGGGUCACGCGAUACUGCUCGACUCGAAGGCAGGAGAGGGAAGUGGAAUUCCCGGUGUAGUGGUGAAAUGCGUAGAUAUCGGGAGGAACACCAGUGGCGAAGGCGACUUCCUGGCCUGUUCUUGACGCUGAGGCGCGAAAGCGUGGGGAGCAAACAGG